CAGGACGAACGCUGGCGGCGUGCUUAACACAUGCAAGUCGAACGGAAUCCAUGGUGUAGCAAUACACCGGAAGAUUUAGUGGCGAACGGGUGAGGAUCACGUGAGAAACCUGCCCCAGACUUUGGAAUAACAGUUGGAAACGACUGCUAAUACCGAAUGACGUCGGAGAACCGCAUGGUUCACUGACGAAAGGAAAUCCGGUUUGGGAGGGUCUCGCGGCCUAUCAGCUUGUUGGUGGGGUAAUGGCCUACCAAGGCAACGACGGGUAGCUGGUCUGAGAGGAUGAUCAGCCACACUGGGACUGAGACACGGCCCAGACUCCUACGGGAGGCAGCAGUGGGGAAUCUUGCGCAAUGGGCGAAAGCCUGACGCAGCAACGCCGCGUGCGGGAUGAAGGCCUUCGGGCUGUAAACCGCUUUCAGCAGGAACGAAAAUGACGGUACCUGCAGAAGAAGGAGCGGCCAACUACGUGCCAGCAGCCGCGGUAA
This 488-nucleotide ribosomal RNA is filed under the name uncultured bacterium. Its description in RNAcentral is "bacterial SSU rRNA". It matches the Rfam family "Bacterial small subunit ribosomal RNA", at positions 25 to 523 of the family's 1533-position model. The record is from RNAcentral.